GAUCCGAUAGCUCAGUAGGUAGAGCAACUGGCUUUUAACCAGUGGGUCGCAGGUUCGAUCCCUGCUCGGAUCACCA
RNAcentral lists this transfer RNA (76 nucleotides) under Blastocatellia bacterium. RNAcentral describes it as "tRNA-Lys". It matches the Rfam family "tRNA". From Rfam's summary of the family: Transfer RNA (tRNA) molecules are approximately 80 nucleotides in length. Their secondary structure includes four short double-helical elements and three loops (D, anti-codon, and T loops). The record is from RNAcentral. Lineage: Bacteria; Pseudomonadati; Acidobacteriota; Blastocatellia.